Cimex lectularius (bed bug) is the source of this 438-nucleotide long non-coding RNA. RefSeq lists it as uncharacterized. The record is from RefSeq and is a predicted model, not a curated record. The transcript has 3 exons. NCBI's taxonomy places the organism in Eukaryota, Metazoa, Arthropoda, Insecta, Hemiptera, Cimicidae.
UUCAGAUGUGAAACGCACAGACCACCUGCAAACUUCAUCAGUUUAAAACGCUACCUUUCACCUUCAUUGUUAAAUAAUUUAUGAAAUGCAAAUCCAAUGGCAAAUUUCCAGAAAAUUGCUGAAACAGUAUAAUCUCUAUUGGUCACAAAUCAACCCUUAAAUAAUGUAAAUUUUUAUUAUUCUGUUGGACAUAUUUUUUUGAAAAUAAAUACAAUGAUACUUUUCCCUAUAGCGAUCCUAAACCCAAGGGUAGCGAUUGAUCAGAUGUGGGAGGCAGAGACAAACUGAAAACUUUCUUUGAAACAGUUUUAAUUCUCCAGUAACAUGUUAAUUUACAAACUGACAUUGAGUCUGUCUAAUAUUGUAAAUUAUUUUCUUUGAAAAUAAAAUAAACGCAACUUCCACCUAUCCCCAAUCCUAAAAACCCAUGGAUGCCGA